GACGCUGGCGGCGUGCCUAAUACAUGCAAGUCGAGCGCGGGAAGCGGACAAUCACCCUUCGGGGUGUGCGUCCGUGGAACGAGCGGCGGAUGGGUGAGUAUCACGUGGGCAACCUGCCUGUAAGAUUGGGAUAACUCGCGGAAACGUGAGCUAAUACCGAAUGAAGUCUUUCGCCGCCUGGUGAAAGGAUGAAAGAUGGCUCUUGAGCUAUCACUUACAGAUGGGCCCGCGGCGCAUUAGCUAGUUGGUGGGGUAAAGGCCUACCAAGGCGACGAUGCGUAGCCGACCUGAGAGGGUGAUCGGCCACACUGGGACUGAGACACGGCCCAGACUCCUACGGGAGGCAGCAGUAGGGAAUCUUCCGCAAUGGACGAAAGUCUGACGGAGCAACGCCGCGUGAAGUGAUGAAGGUCUUCGGAUCGUAAAACUCUGUUGUCAGGGAAGAACAAGUUGUGUUCUAACAGGACAUGACCUUGACGGUACCUGACCAGAAAGCCCCGGCUAACUACGUGCCAGCCGCCGC
This 523-nucleotide ribosomal RNA is filed under the name uncultured bacterium. RNAcentral describes it as "bacterial SSU rRNA". It matches the Rfam family "Bacterial small subunit ribosomal RNA", at positions 33 to 518 of the family's 1533-position model. The record is from RNAcentral.